RNAcentral lists this ribosomal RNA (497 nucleotides) under uncultured bacterium. RNAcentral's name for it is "partial 16S ribosomal RNA". It matches the Rfam family "Bacterial small subunit ribosomal RNA", at positions 28 to 507 of the family's 1533-position model. The record is from RNAcentral.
GAUGAACGCUGGCGGCGUGCCUAAUACAUGCAAGUCGAGCGAACAGACGAGGAGCUUGCUCCUCUGACGUUAGCGGCGGACGGGUGAUUAACACGUGGAUAACCUACCUAUAAGACUGGGAUAACUUCGGGAAACCGGAGCUAAUACCGGAUAAUAUAUUGAACCGCAUGGUUCAAUAGUUAAAGACGGUUUUGCUGUCACUUAUAGAUGGAUCCGCGCCGCAUUAGCUAGUUGGUAAGGUAACGGCUUACCAAGGCAACGAUGCGUAGCCGACCUGAGCGGGUGAUCGGCCACACUGGAACUGAGACACGGUCCAGACUCCUGCGGGAGGCAGCAGUAGGGAAUCUUCCGCAAUGGGCGAAAGCCUGACGGAGCAACGCCGCGUGAGUGAUGAAGGUCUUCGGAUCGUAAAACUCUGUUAUUAGGGAAGAACAAAUGUGUAAGUAACUAUGCACGUCUUGACGGUACCUAAUCAGAAAGCCACGGCUAACUACGUG